RNAcentral lists this small RNA (67 nucleotides) under Sinorhizobium meliloti 2011. RNAcentral's name for it is "putative ncRNA". Lineage: Bacteria; Pseudomonadati; Pseudomonadota; Alphaproteobacteria; Hyphomicrobiales; Rhizobiaceae. The record is from RNAcentral.
AGUACUCUGGUCAUUAUUUGGUCUCCGUCGGUUAAUGAUGAAUUCGAUGGAGACAACUUCCCGUUUU